GGGGCGUUAGCUCAGUUGGUAGAGUAGCGGACUCUUAAUCCGUAGGUCGAGUGUUCGAGUCACUCACGCCCCACCA
This 76-nucleotide transfer RNA is filed under the name uncultured Paraburkholderia sp. RNAcentral's name for it is "tRNA-Lys-CTT". It matches the Rfam family "tRNA". Rfam says of the family: Transfer RNA (tRNA) molecules are approximately 80 nucleotides in length. Their secondary structure includes four short double-helical elements and three loops (D, anti-codon, and T loops). The record is from RNAcentral. Lineage: Bacteria; Pseudomonadati; Pseudomonadota; Betaproteobacteria; Burkholderiales; Burkholderiaceae. RNAcentral also lists the same sequence under 1 other name.